GACGUAGGGUGCGAGCGUUGUCCGGAUUUAUUGGGCGUAAAGAGCUCGUAGGCGGCUCGUCGCGUCGGCUGUGAAAACCCGCGGCUUAACUGUGGGCUUGCAGCUGAUACGGGCGGGCUAGAGUUCGGUAGGGGAGACUGGAAUUCCUGGUGUAGCGGUGAAAUGCGCAGAUAUCAGGAAGAACAUCGGUGGCGAAGGCGCUCUGCUGGACCAUAACUGACACUCAGGGACGAAAGCUAGGGGAGCGAAUGGG
This 253-nucleotide ribosomal RNA is filed under the name uncultured bacterium. RNAcentral's name for it is "partial 16S ribosomal RNA". It matches the Rfam family "Bacterial small subunit ribosomal RNA", at positions 524 to 776 of the family's 1533-position model. The record is from RNAcentral.